This 510-nucleotide ribosomal RNA is filed under the name uncultured bacterium. Its description in RNAcentral is "bacterial SSU rRNA". It matches the Rfam family "Bacterial small subunit ribosomal RNA", at positions 18 to 518 of the family's 1533-position model. The record is from RNAcentral.
UAUGGCUCAGGAUGAACGCUAGCUACAGGCUUAACACAUGCAAGUCGAGGGGCAGCAUGAGAUUAGCUUGCUAAUCUUGAUGGCGACCGGCGCACGGGUGAGUAACGCGUAUCCAACCUUCCCCCUACUCAGGCAUAGCCCGGUGAAAACCGGAUUAACUCCUGAUAGUUUCACUAGAUGGCAUCUGACGGUGAAUAAAGCUCAGCGGUAAGGGAUGGGGAUGCGUCUGAUUAGCUUGUUGGCGGGUAACGGCCCACCAAGGCGACGAUCAGUAGGGGUUCUGAGAGGAAGGUCCCCCACAUUGGAACUGAGACACGGUCCAAACUCCUACGGGAGGCAGCAGUGAGGAAUAUUGGUCAAUGGGCGCGAGCCUGAACCAGCCAAGUAGCGUGCCAGGACGACGGCCCUAUGGGUUGUAAACUGCUUUUGUAUGGGAAUAAAGUCAGGGACGUGUCCCUGUUUGCAUGUACCAUAAGAAUAAGGACCGGCUAAUUCCGUGCCAGCAGCAGC